This 477-nucleotide ribosomal RNA is filed under the name uncultured organism. Its description in RNAcentral is "partial 16S ribosomal RNA". It matches the Rfam family "Bacterial small subunit ribosomal RNA", at positions 332 to 800 of the family's 1533-position model. The record is from RNAcentral.
UACACUCCUGCGGGAGGCAGCAGUGGGGAAUUUUGGACAAUGGGCGAAAGCCUGAUCCAGCCAUGCCGCGUGCAGGAUGAAGGCCUUCGGGUUGUAAACUGCUUUUGUACGGAACGAAACGGCCUUUUCUAAUAAAGAGGGCUAAUGACGGUACCGUAAGAAUAAGCACCGGCUAACUACGUGUCAGCAGCCGCGGUAAUACGUAGGGUGCAAGCGUUAAUCGGAAUUACUGGGCGUAAAGCGUGCGCAGGCGGUUAUGUAAGACAGUUGUGAAAUCCCCGGGCUCAACCUGGGAACUGCAUCUGUGACUGCAUAGCUAGAGUACGGUAGAGGGGGAUGGAAUUCCGCGUGUAGCAGUGAAAUGCGUAGAUAUGCGGAGGAACACCGAUGGCGAAGGCAAUCCCCUGGACCUGUACUGACGCUCAUGCACGAAAGCGUGGGGAGCAAACAGGAUUAGAUACCCCGGUAGUCCCAUGA